CCGGCCAACUACGUGCCAGCAGCCGCGGUUAUACGUAGGGUGCGAGCGUUUUCCCGAAUUAUUGGGCGUAAAGAGCUUGUAGGCGGUUUGUCGCGUCUUCCCUGAAAACUUGGGGCUCAACCCCAAGCUUGCGGGCGAUACGGGCAGACUUGAGUACUUCAGGGGAGACUGGAAUUCCUGGUGUAGCGGUGAAAUGCGCAGAUAUCAGGAGGAACACCGGUGGCGAAGGGGGUCUCUGGGAAGUAACUGACGCUGAGAAGCGAAAGCGUGGGUAGCGAACAGGAUUAGAUACCCUGGUAGUCCACGCCGUAAACGGUGGGUACUAGGUGUGGGUUUCCUUCCACGGGAUCCGUGCCGUAGCUAACGCAUUAAGUACCCCGCCUGGGGAGUACGGCCGCAAGGCUAAAACUCAAAGGAAUUGACGGGGGCCCGCACAAGCGGCGGAGCAUGUGGAUUAAUUCGAUGCAACGCGAAGAACCUUACCUGGGUUUGACAUACACCGGAAACCUGCAGAGAUGUAGGCCCCCUUGUGGUCGGUGUACAGGUGGUGCAUGGCUGUCGUCAGCUCGUGUCGUGAGAUGUUGGGUUAAGUCCCGCAACGAGCGCAACCCUUGUCCUGUGUUGCCAGCGCGUAAUGGCGGGGACUCGCAGGAGACUGCCGGGGUCAACUCGGAGGAAGGUGGGGACGACGUCAAGUCAUCAUGCCCCUUAUGUCCAGGGCUUCACACAUGCUACAAUGGCCGGUACAGAGGGCUGCGAUACCGUGAGGUGGAGCGAAUCCCUUAAAGCCGGUCUCAGUUCGGAUCGGGGUCUGCAACUCGACCCCGUGAAGUUGGAGUCGCUAGUAAUCGCAGAUCAGCAACGCUGCGGUGAAUACGUUCCCGGGCCUUGUACACACCGCCCGUCACGUCAUGAAAGUCGGUAACACCCGAAGCCGGUGGCCUAACCC
RNAcentral lists this ribosomal RNA (949 nucleotides) under Nocardia brasiliensis. RNAcentral describes it as "bacterial SSU rRNA". It matches the Rfam family "Bacterial small subunit ribosomal RNA", at positions 493 to 1441 of the family's 1533-position model. Lineage: Bacteria; Bacillati; Actinomycetota; Actinomycetes; Mycobacteriales; Nocardiaceae. The record is from RNAcentral.